RNAcentral lists this ribosomal RNA (425 nucleotides) under uncultured bacterium. RNAcentral's name for it is "bacterial SSU rRNA". It matches the Rfam family "Bacterial small subunit ribosomal RNA", at positions 356 to 773 of the family's 1533-position model. The record is from RNAcentral.
GGGGAAUCUUGGACACUGGGGGCAACCCUGAUCCAGCAAUGCCGCGUGGGUGAAGACGGCCUGCGGGUUGUAAAGCCCUUUUAGCGGGGACGAAAGGCCGCGUGCGAACAGUGCGCGGUGGUGACGGUACCUGCGGAAGAAGCACCGGCUAACUCCGUGCCAGCAGCCGCGGUAAUACGGAGGGUGCAAGCGUUAAUCGGAGUGACUGGGCGUAAAGGGCGCGUAGGCGGUUAACUAAGUCGGUUGUGAAAGCCCCGGGCUCAACCUGGGAAUGGCAAUGGAGACUGGUUAACUAGAGUGCAGACGAGGACCGUGGAAUUCCCGGUGUAGCGGUGAAAUGCGUAGAGAUCGGGAGGAACACCGAUGGCGAAGGCAGCGGUCUGGGUUGACACUGACGCUGAGGCGCGACAGCGUGGGGAGCAAAC